This 356-nucleotide long non-coding RNA is filed under the name Ananas comosus (pineapple). RNAcentral's name for it is "long non-coding RNA (ACOM_LNC003941)". Lineage: Eukaryota; Viridiplantae; Streptophyta; Magnoliopsida; Poales; Bromeliaceae. The record is from RNAcentral.
AACUUUGUCACUGAUUUAAAUAAAAAAAUAAUAAAUCAAUAAUAAAAAAUAAAAUAAAUUUAUAAGGUAAUAAAUUGAUACAUUUUAAAUUAAAGAAUACUAAAGUAGGAAAAUAUGAAACUACAUGGGUGGUAUUUGAAAAAAAAAAAAAAAAAAGGGAAAAAAAGAAGGAGAGAGAAAGGAAUAAGAGUAUUUUGGUUAGUUUUUUGGAAAUUUGGGCUGAACCUGUAAAAUUGAAAAAAGUAGUCCUGUUUUACAAAAGCCCAAAACUUAUAAAUUUUUUAUGCAAAUUGGCCUUAUUUUUUCGCUGUAAAAUAAAAUAUUUUCUCAUAAAAAAUAAACUUUUCUAAUUAAUU